UACACUGUGGGAAACCGCGAUAAGGGGAUACUGAGUGCCAGCAUAUUAUAUNGGCUGUCCAUACGUAUAAAUAGCAUGUGUUAGCAAGGGCCGGGCAAGACCGGUGCUCAGCCGCCGCGGUAACACCGGCGGCCCGAGUGGUGGCCACUAUUAUUGGGUCUAAAGGCUCCGUAGCCGGUUUGAUCAGUCUUCCGGGAAAUCUGACAGCUCAACUGUUAGGCUUGUGGGGGAUACUGUCAGACUUGGGACCGGGAGAGGUAAGAGGUACUACAGGGGUAGGAGUGAAAUCUUGUAAUCCUUGUGGGACCACCAGUGGCGAAGGCGUCUUACCAGAACGCGUCCGACGGUGAGGGACGAAAGCUGGGGGCACGAACCGGAUUAGAUACCCGGGUAGUCCCAGCCGUAAACGAUGCUCGCUAGGUGUCUGGGACGGUGCGACC
Molecule: ribosomal RNA, 440 nt
Filed under: uncultured Methanosarcinaceae archaeon
Lineage: Archaea; Methanobacteriati; Methanobacteriota; Methanomicrobia; Methanosarcinales; Methanosarcinaceae
Description: bacterial SSU rRNA
Rfam family: Archaeal small subunit ribosomal RNA
Source: RNAcentral